GAGAGGGAGCCUGAGAAACGGCUACCACAUCCAAGGAUGGCAGCAGGCGCGCAAAUUACCCAAUCCCGACACGGGGAGGUAGUGACAAUAAAUAACAAUACGGGGUUCUUUAGGAUCUCGUAAUUGGAAUGAGUACAAUUUAAAUCUCUUAACGAGGAACAAUUGGAGGGCAAGUCUGGUGCCAGCAGCCGCGGUAAUUCCAGCUCCAAUAGCGUAUAUUAAAGUUGUUGCAGUUAAAAAGCUCGUAGUUGAAUUUCGGGGUUAGUAGGUUGGUCAUGCCUCUGGUAUGUACUGGUCUCACUGAUUCCUCCUUCCUUAUGAACCGUAAUGCCAUUAAUUUGGUGUUGCGGGGAAUUUGGACUGUUACUUUGAAAAAAUUAGAGUGUUUAAAGCAAGCUAACGCUUGAAUACAUUAGCAUGGAAUAAUGAAAUAGGACGUUCGAUCUUAUUUUGUUGGUUUCUAGGAUUGACGUAAUGAUUAAUAGGGAUAGUUGGGGGCAUUAGUAUUCAAUUGUCAGAGGUGAAAUUCUUGGAUUUAUUGAAGACUAACUACUGCGAAAGCAUUUGCCAAGGAUGUUUUCAUUAAUCAAGAACGAAAGUUAGGGGAUCGAAGACGAUCAGAUACCGUCGUAGUCUUAACCAUAAACUAUGCCGACUAGGGAUCGGAUGAUGUUAAUUUUUUAAUGACUCAUUCGGCGCCUUACGGGAAACCAA
Molecule: ribosomal RNA, 714 nt
Filed under: uncultured fungus
Lineage: Eukaryota; Fungi
Description: SSU rRNA
Rfam family: Eukaryotic small subunit ribosomal RNA
Source: RNAcentral